RNAcentral lists this ribosomal RNA (381 nucleotides) under uncultured Bicosoecida. RNAcentral describes it as "partial small subunit ribosomal RNA". It matches the Rfam family "Eukaryotic small subunit ribosomal RNA", at positions 30 to 432 of the family's 1831-position model. The record is from RNAcentral. Lineage: Eukaryota; Bigyra; Bicosoecida.
GCUUGUCUCAAAGAUUAAGCCAUGCAUGUCUAAGUAUAAGCAUUAUACAGUGAAACUGCGAAUGGCUCAUUAUAUCAGUUAUAGUUUAUUUGAUAGUCAACUCUACUUGGAUAACCGUAGUAAUUCUAGAGCUAAUACAUGCGUCAAAGGGGCUUUACGGCUUCUGUAUUUAUUAGAUACAACCAGCUCCGCAAGGAUUUUGGUGAAUCAUAAUAACUGAACGAACCGCUUCAUUGCGGUGGUUCAUUCAAGUUUCUGCCCUAUCAGCUUUCGAUGGUAGGGUAUUGGCCUACCAUGGCGUUAACGGGUAACGGAGAAUUAGGGUUCGAUUCCGGAGAGGGAGCCUGAGAGAUGGCUACCACAUCCAAGGAAGGCAGCAGG